UGUUCAAGAAAACGAAGCUGGAUUAGAAUGUGCUGCCGGGGCCAAUGCAUGCGCAGAAACUUUAUUUAAUGCUGAGGCAAUUUCAACAUCCAACGACGAAACAUGCUUGGCCGUGAAUAUUGCGAUAGAAUGUGUAGCAAAUGCAACGGCGACAUGUGACCUAAUAGCAGCUGCUGACGUAACUUCUAGUAUGGCGGCAUUCAUUGAUGAAUACAAGAAAUCGCCUUACAAUUGUACUCUACAAAAUGCUGAUGAUCCCUUGUUUACGUUGGACCCAUGUUCUAUUGCCU
This is a long non-coding RNA of Patella vulgata (common limpet), 290 nucleotides long. RefSeq lists it as uncharacterized. Lineage: Eukaryota; Metazoa; Mollusca; Gastropoda; Patellidae. The transcript has 3 exons. The record is from RefSeq and is a predicted model, not a curated record.